Molecule: ribosomal RNA, 450 nt
Filed under: uncultured bacterium
Lineage: Bacteria
Description: partial 16S ribosomal RNA
Rfam family: Bacterial small subunit ribosomal RNA
Source: RNAcentral
GUGGGGAAUAUUCCGCAAUGGACGAAAGUCUGACGGAGCAACGCCGCGUGAGUGAUGAAGGUUUUCGGACUGUAAAGCUCUGUUGUUUGGGACGAAAGUGCCUGUUGCGAACAGUUACGGGUAUUGACGGUACUAAACGAGGAAGCCACGGCUAACUACGUGCCAGCAGCCGCGGUAAUACGUAGGUGGCAAGCGUUGUCCGGAAUUAUUGGGCGUAAAGAGCAUGUAGGCGGGAUUCUAAGUCUGUUGUUAAAAUGCGGGGCUCAACCCCGUAUUGCGAUGGAAACUGGGUUUCUUGAGUGCAGGAGGGGAAAGGGGAAUUCCCAGUGUAGCGGUGAAAUGCGUAGAUAUUGGGAGGAACACCAGUGGCGAAGGCGCCUUUCUGGACUGUGUCUGACGCUGAGAUGCGAAAGCCAGGGUAGCGAACGGGAUUAGAAACCCGUGUAGUCC